Molecule: unclassified non-coding RNA, 383 nt
Filed under: uncultured fungus
Lineage: Eukaryota; Fungi
Description: partial contains small subunit ribosomal RNA, internal transcribed spacer 1, and 5.8S ribosomal RNA
Rfam family: Eukaryotic small subunit ribosomal RNA (bases 1-73)
Source: RNAcentral
ACAAACUUGGUCAUUUAGAGGAAGUAAAAGUCGUAACAAGGUUUCCGUAGGUGAACCUGCGGAAGGAUCAUUAACGAGGUUUACCGGCCAAUGCUGGCGAGGCAACUCGCAUGUGCACGGUCGUCUUCCUUCUAUCAACCCCUGUGCACUUUAAUUAACGGAUUUGGAGGGAAGCGCGUCUGGAGGAUUAACAUAGUAGUUGUGGGUCCCGUCAGGGGCACGCGUCGAAAAGGUUAAUCUGUCGAUGGGCGUGUGGUACCUUUGAGUUCGCUUUUAUAAACCACGCAUAUAGUCAUGUCGAAUGUUCAGUCCUAAGGGACGCUAAAUUUAAUACAACUUUCAACAACGGAUCUCUUGGCUCUCGCAUCGAUGAAGAACGCAGC